GUUGAGAAUUGCAUGGGCAAACCUUUGCGCUAAGCCGGUCAGAUUCGAAAGAAAGCAGCCGUAACAUGAAGUUUUGGGUCAUGUAAUUCUCUUAGAU
RNAcentral lists this signal recognition particle RNA (97 nucleotides) under Alphaproteobacteria bacterium. RNAcentral describes it as "signal recognition particle sRNA small type". It matches the Rfam family "Bacterial small signal recognition particle RNA". Rfam says of the family: The signal recognition particle (SRP) is a universally conserved ribonucleoprotein involved in the co-translational targeting of proteins to membranes. The record is from RNAcentral. Lineage: Bacteria; Pseudomonadati; Pseudomonadota; Alphaproteobacteria.